RNAcentral lists this ribosomal RNA (675 nucleotides) under uncultured bacterium. RNAcentral's name for it is "bacterial SSU rRNA". It matches the Rfam family "Bacterial small subunit ribosomal RNA", at positions 64 to 726 of the family's 1533-position model. The record is from RNAcentral.
GAACGGCAGCAUGACGUGUAGCAAUACACGUUGAUGGCGAGUGGCGGACGGGUGAGUAAUGCAUAGGAAUCUGCCCAGUAGCGGGGGACAACCCGGAGAAAUCCGGGCUAAUACCGCAUACGCCCUACGGGGGAAAGCGGGGGACCGAAAGGCCUCGCACUAUUGGUUGAGCCUAUGUCGGAUUAGCUAGUUGGUAGGGUAACGGCCUACCAAGGCGACGAUCCGUAGCUGGUCUGAGAGGACGAUCAGCCACACCGGAACUGAGACACGGUCCGGACUCCUACGGGAGGCAGCAGUGGGGAAUAUUGGACAAUGGGGGCAACCCUGAUCCAGCAAUGCCGCGUGUGUGAAGAAGGCCUGCGGGUUGUAAAGCACUUUCGGUGGGGACAAAAAGUGGCGGGAUAACACCCUGCUAUCUUGAUUUAACCCAUAGAAGAAGCACCGGCUAACUCUGUGCCAGCAGCCGCGGUAAUACAGAGGGUGCAAGCGUUAAUCGGAAUUACUGGGCGUAAAGCGCACGUAGGCGGCGUGAUAAGUUGGAUGUGAAAUCCCCGGGCUUAACUUGGGAAUUGCAUUCAAGACUGUCGUGCUGGAGUAUGGGAGAGAGAAGUGGAAUUCCAGGUGUAGCGGUGAAAUGCGUAGAUAUCUGGAGGAACAUCAGUGGCGAAGGCGGCU